Molecule: ribosomal RNA, 713 nt
Filed under: Pseudomonas sp. 120516_NH_C1_G7
Lineage: Bacteria; Pseudomonadati; Pseudomonadota; Gammaproteobacteria; Pseudomonadales; Pseudomonadaceae
Description: bacterial SSU rRNA
Rfam family: Bacterial small subunit ribosomal RNA
Source: RNAcentral
GAUUAUGGCUCAGAUUGAACGCUGGCGGCAGGCCUAACACAUGCAAGUCGAGCGGAUGACGGGAGCUUGCUCCUUGAUUCAGCGGCGGACGGGUGAGUAAUGCCUAGGAAUCUGCCUGGUAGUGGGGGACAACGUUUCGAAAGGAACGCUAAUACCGCAUACGUCCUACGGGAGAAAGCAGGGGACCUUCGGGCCUUGCGCUAUCAGAUGAGCCUAGGUCGGAUUAGCUAGUUGGUGGGGUAAUGGCUCACCAAGGCGACGAUCCGUAACUGGUCUGAGAGGAUGAUCAGUCACACUGGAACUGAGACACGGUCCAGACUCCUACGGGAGGCAGCAGUGGGGAAUAUUGGACAAUGGGCGAAAGCCUGAUCCAGCCAUGCCGCGUGUGUGAAGAAGGUCUUCGGAUUGUAAAGCACUUUAAGUUGGGAGGAAGGGCAGUAAGYUAAUACCUUGCUGUUUUGACGUUACCGACAGAAUAAGCACCGGCUAACUCUGUGCCAGCAGCCGCGGUAAUACAGAGGGUGCAAGCGUUAAUCGGAAUUACUGGGCGUAAAGCGCGCGUAGGUGGUUUGUUAAGUUGGAUGUGAAAGCCCCGGGCUCAACCUGGGAACUGCAUCCAAAACUGGCAAGCUAGAGUACGGUAGAGGGUGGUGGAAUUUCCUGUGUAGCGGUGAAAUGCGUAGAUAUAGGAAGGAACACCAGUGGCGAAGGCG